UACGGAGGGAGCUAGCGUUGUUCGGAAUUACUGGGCGUAAAGCGUACGUAGGCGGCUUUUUAAGUCAGGGGUGAAAUCCUGGAGCUCAACUCCAGAACUGCCUUUGAUACUGAGAAGCUUGAGUCCGGGAGAGGUGAGUGGAACUGCGAGUGUAGAGGUGAAAUUCGUAGAUAUUCGCAAGAACACCAGUGGCGAAGGCAGGUCUCUGGGCAUUAACUGACGCUGAGGAGCGAAAGCAUGGGGAGCGAACAGG
RNAcentral lists this ribosomal RNA (253 nucleotides) under uncultured bacterium. RNAcentral describes it as "partial 16S ribosomal RNA". It matches the Rfam family "Bacterial small subunit ribosomal RNA", at positions 524 to 776 of the family's 1533-position model. The record is from RNAcentral.